Molecule: ribosomal RNA, 351 nt
Filed under: uncultured Desulfocapsa sp.
Lineage: Bacteria; Pseudomonadati; Thermodesulfobacteriota; Desulfobulbia; Desulfobulbales; Desulfocapsaceae
Description: bacterial SSU rRNA
Rfam family: Bacterial small subunit ribosomal RNA
Source: RNAcentral
UGGAGACAGGUGCUGCAUGGCUGUCGUCAGCUCGUGUCGUGAGAUGUUGGUUAAGUCCCGCAACGAGCGCAACCCCUAUCUUUAGUUGCCAUCAUUGAGUUGGGCACUCUAAAGAGACUGCCGGUGUCAAACCGGAGGAAGGUGGGGAUGACGUCAAGUCCUCAUGGCCUUUAUGACCAGGGCUACACACGUACUACAAUGGCCGGUACAAAGGGCAGCGACACAGCGAUGUGAAGCGAAUCCCGAAAAGCCGGUCUCAGUCCGGAUUGGAGUCUGCAACUCGACUCCAUGAAGUUGGAAUCGCUAGUAAUCGCGGAUCAGCACGCCGCGGUGAAUACGUUCCCGGGCCUU